GGAGCCUGGUGACCACAUGCGGGUCUUGGAUAGUAGAAUGUCUAUUUGGUAGGAGGGAAGUUGAAUGAGAUGGGGUUGACCAGAAGGUCUGGACCUUAGACGAGCUCCAGCCAUGAUCUUCCUAAGAUCAAUCCAAGGAUGUUAAAGCAACUUGAGAAAAGCAUUUAUUCUCUGCUCCUGGAAUUACCCUUCACUUUCCUGGCAGGGACUCUUGGCAUUGUCUCUAAACCUCUGAGCCAGGCUAAGGGCCUGGGAGACAACUGAAGCCCCCACCUCACCCUUCUCUGGCACCCCAGCACUGCCUGGCUGUACACUGCUUUCCGAGGCUACAGAUGGUUGAAGCUGCAAGGGGGGCCUCAGAGAUUAUCAAGUCCAAAAGGGGUGCCCCAAGGCAAGAUGGGGAGUGCCCUCAAAGACAGGAGGAAGAAGUUCAUGAGGAGGUGGCACUGCCAGUGGGGCACACAGCCCCCACACCUGUCCCAAGCCAGAGUAAUCGCUCCUUCAUCGUUUGAGUUAGUUCUUCAUUUAUUCAUUAUCUGCUCAUCGGAGUUUUAGAGCCCCUCACCGUCACUCUGUGGAGGAGAAAAAAUCACCAUCAUGAAACCUAGAAGCUAGUGGGGGAAACUGACCAUAAACACAUGAACAAGUGAAGACACAAGAAAAUAUCAAGGAGUGAUAAGUGCAGU
This is a long non-coding RNA of Talpa occidentalis (Iberian mole), 686 nucleotides long. RefSeq lists it as uncharacterized. NCBI's taxonomy places the organism in Eukaryota, Metazoa, Chordata, Mammalia, Eulipotyphla, Talpidae. The transcript has 3 exons. The record is from RefSeq and is a predicted model, not a curated record.